ACGGGGUCGAUCAGGCCGUUGCCCUCUCACGGCGGGAACAGGGGUUCGAUUCCCCUUGGGCGUACCA
This 67-nucleotide transfer RNA is filed under the name Aminobacter aminovorans. Its description in RNAcentral is "tRNA-Glu". The record is from RNAcentral. Lineage: Bacteria; Pseudomonadati; Pseudomonadota; Alphaproteobacteria; Hyphomicrobiales; Phyllobacteriaceae.